RNAcentral lists this non-coding RNA (25 nucleotides) under Mus musculus (house mouse). The record is from RNAcentral. Lineage: Eukaryota; Metazoa; Chordata; Mammalia; Rodentia; Muridae.
UGAGCUCAAGAGUUUGAAUCUAGUC